CCCCCAGCAUUUGGAAGUUCCCAGGCUAGGGGUUGAAUUGGAGCUACAGCUGCUGGCCUAUACCACAGCCACAGCAAGGCGGGAUCCGAGCCAUGUCUGUGACCUACACCACAGCUCACGGCAACACUCGAUCCCCGACGCAAUGAGCGAGGCCAGGGAUCGAACCCACAUCUUCAUGUUUUGGUACAUGUCCAAUAUUAAAAUGUUCAUUAUAGACUAUUAAGCACUAUACGAAAGUUAAACCCCUGUAGUUGCCUCUUUGGCAAGAUUUACGUUCUAAAAACAGCAUUUUUGUAUGUAUACAUCCAAAAUUACUCUUUAAAAGUCCUUAAAUAACAAUAAUUUCAGUUCAACUAGCUUUUUCCUAAUAUUGGAAUAUAUCACUCUUUCUUUGGUUGAACACCAAAUGAAGAAUUGUAUUUAACUUGUAUAUGGAUGAUGUUGUAAGAAAAACAUGCCCUGUAUUUUGAAAACUAUCAGCACCCUUAGUUCCAUGAAAUACUCACACAAAUAAGCAUGUGGGAAUGGGGAAUACUGCGUGAGACUGUUCACUUCUCACACCUCAUAUUAUUUAUGGACUAAAAACCAUAAUUAUGAACUUAGUACUAAUAGUUUUAUGAUCCAUAUUUCACUGGUUCCUGCCUUUCCCUUCUGAUGCAAGACCAGCUCCUUACAAAGUUCCCUGCCCAUAAUUUCUAAGAGCCCUUUGACAGUAUUUUACAUGAACUCAAGAACAAGCUUUGUCUGUGGCCACAUGGAUAUGUGCUGCUGAGUUUUCUGUUGCCUUUGAACCCUUCUGGCACUCACUGCUGAGCCAGUCCUGGUGAGCCAGGUCACCACCACCUUCUACUGGGUAUUUGCAUGAUCUCCAAUAUGGUCCUCAAGGAAUCAGAAUGCUUCUGUGUUUUCUGGGGUCUUCAUUACUGCAAAAUUAUAUCACAUUUCCUGCAGAAGUGUAAAUAAGCUCCAAUCACUCACCUUUGGAUAAUAUUUUUUGAUGUAAGGUAGAUUUUAGUGCACUUCUAUUUCUGGUAUGGUGCUUUCCAAGAGGAGUCUGUGAGUCAGCAUAAGAGUGUGAAUCUUCAAGAUAGGUAAGCAUUGUCCCCUCAAUCCAAGAGUAGCACUCAAAAUAGUUCUAGCUGGCAUAAUAUGGGGACUGACCAAUUGGAAUACUACCUAGUACCUUGUGGCAGUACAAAUUGAUUGAAAAGUAGCCUGGUCAAAACCCCUCCUUGAUGGCACCCAGACUUGUUGGCAGUCUUUCUCCCCAAACCCCUACGUAAAUCACCCUAUUGGCUGCCUAAAUCCACCAAUUUGCCAGGUAUGCCAAGAUAUGUUUGAACCCCAGUGGUGGACAGAGAUUUGUCCUAAGCUGUGAUUCUGUUAUAUUUGAAUGCAUCCAAUUUUUAAAAUUUGAUAAUCAAAUUAUAUUGUAGCAGCAAUAAUGGAAAGAUUUUAAUGGAAGAAAAAACUUUCAGAAAACCAACAAAUGAAUAAAUCAAAUGUUUUUAUUCUUGGGCAUCUCCUUGGAGUCCUCCUCCAUAUGCAAAUAUUUUAUAAGUAAUUUUAAUUUUCACCUUUUCUAUUGUAAUCAUAUUGCUCAUCUUGCCAGAAUUUACUGAGUUCCUGUUAUGUGCACACCAUCAACUGAGAUCAAGAGAAAUGCUUUAUAUCUCCAUGUAAUUCCAUUUAAGCAGGAAGAAAGGGUGUCUUUUGGCAACUCCUGUUGAUAAAUUUUUCACUCAAUGAUUUCUUUGGUACUUAGAAGUACUUUGGAACUUUAACUCCUUACGUGCUAGAUUAAAAGCUUAACCUCCAUAGAAUACUUUACUUACACAGAGUUCCAGCUGAUUUGGUUCUGUAGGAGAUUUGUUUUUAAUUCUGAAAGAGCCCAUACCCUUUUGACCUUGAAAAUACUUUUAAAAUGCAAUUGAACAAACCAUAGUUAGGUUUUAAAACAUAUACAGUAGUUCCUCCAGUUUGCUCUAAGCAUAUAUAGCACAGUCCUGGGCACGCAGUAGACACAUAAACAUUUCAUAAUCAAAUCAGGAUAUUAAAUAUUGUGUCUUCAUGUAUUUUCCAACACAAAUUAGCAAGAUUCAUGAAAUUGUAUAGAAUGAUGGCCAAAGCAUUUAAAAAUAAAUAUUAGAGUAACUAUAUUACUUUUGAUAAGAAGACUAAAUGUGAAAACUGUAUUCAAAUUGUCAAGAAAUAAUUAGAGAAGGUAGAAGGGUACUGACAGGAAGAUGUGCUCAGCUGUCUCAGACAUGCUGAUUCCUAAAAAAGAACAACAACAAAAAAAUCUGAGUUAUUAUUUUCCUGAAACUUUUAAAUUCUCCUUAAAAAGUAGUAAGAAUUUAGGGCUUUUUCCUAAAUUAUUACUUUUAUCUUGAAGUACUGAGUAUUACCAAUGUAUAUACAAUAUAAAUUAUAAAAAUAAUAAUAGACAUGGCAAAAUAUUAAUGGGUUUACAAAACUGAGCUAUAAACCCUCUGCCCUGAGAAUCCUUUUUGGUCUGAUAUCUGGUACUUCCAACUACUAUGGGUGUUAAACUGGAACACAAGUUCCUUGGGGCCUUGUGCAUUCUCUCCCAUUCCCUUUCAGAAUUCCAUCCCACAGGGCACAGGAAUGAUGUCAGAGCAAUGAUGCAUCUUGAUGGCCACAAUCCAAAUGAAACUGUCCUGACAGAGGAGGACAGGCCCUCUCUGCAUUCUGGAAUUCCUUCUUGGAUAAUCUACAGGACUUAAUUUUUUUUCAAGUGUCCCCCCUUCCCCCCAAGUUAGAGCUAUUCAGUAGCCAAGAAACAGAAUGACAGUUUUCUUGUAGCUUGCACAUUCUCUAUCAACCAAAUAUAAAUUAAAAACCUAGAGACUUCUAUUCUGAGAUGUGAGACCUAUUUCCAUGUGAACAAGAAAAUAUGACCAUUUCUGAUUUACUGCUGAUUAAUGAGUUCCUAAAGUAUUUAUUCCAACUGAGAAUUUUGCAGGCCUAUAUUUAACAUAUUUAAUGCACAUAAAAUAAGGCUGAAUUACCUAGAAUCUUGUAAAGAAUAUACUUAAAGUAUUCAAUCAGCACAUACUUAUUGUUUUGAAUUCAUGUGAAUUCAUUUAUUCAAUUUAAUGUAGAAAUAUUUAUACUCUUGUCUAAAGAAGCUCUUUCUUAAAAAUGUGAAUAGAGAUGGAGUAAAUGAAAUAAAAAUGAAACAGCUCAGAUGAAUAUAAUCAGUUACAAUGUAUUAACAACAUGAUUUUACCCUCUUUGGAGCAAAUAGAUGACAAGCAUAAACAACUAGAAGGAUUCAUUGAAGGUUUGUUUUCUUUUUAUCUUAGAUGGUAUACUCCUUUAGAUGUUAAAAUUAGGGUAUUUAAGUGAUGUGGGGCUUGAUAUGAAGCUUUUUUUUUUUUUUGGUUGCACCCACGGCAUAUAGAAGUUCCUUGGCUAGGGAUUGAACUGGCGCUACAGCUGUAACCUAAGCCACUGCAGUGACAACGCCAGAUCCUUAACCCACCGUGCCACAAGAGAACUCUGAUGGGAAACUUUUAAUACAAUCAGAGUCUACUUCAUAGUAGCAAUGUUUCAAACAAUGUCCCUCUUCUUUUUGGGUUGUUAUCCAUCAUUUUCCCAUGUGGGCACACCUCAUUGGUUAUACGAAGCAUGACCAAAUAUGCUGUCUUGUUACCCUGGGCACAUUUUCAGCAAUAGGAAAAACCAGUGAAUGUUACCUCAGAGACUCUCUUACAGUGACAAUGUCUUAAAUCUGCUAAAAUACCUCCCAUAAUUCUCCAUUAUCGACAAGGCAAAGUCCAGAUUUCUUGGUGUAACAUCCAAAGGUUUUUAAAGUUGGACUCCAAACUACUUUUUAAGCUUUAUCUUCUAUUAGUUUCCCCUAUCAGCUUUCUGUUCUAGCAGAACUGGUUUCCCUAAAGUCAAAUAAACAGACUCACAAUGUCCUUAAUUCCUCUGACAGUUCAACCCCCACGGAAGAGUUUGCUAAGAAGGGAGUUUUUCUGGCGAGUUGGAAAUGAAGUGGUGAAAAAUAAUUUAUUUCCUCUCUCCUUUCUUCAUUUCCAAAUCCUACUACUCAUCCUUUAUGAUCCACUUUAGUCUGAAAUGUUCUCCAUUUACCUAUUAUAAACAGGGCAGAAUAAGCAAUUCGUUUGAGCAUGAGUAACAACCAUAUUAGCAAAUUAUGUUCUGCUUUAUAAUGUUUUUAUGGAUUCAAAAUGUGAUCUUACAUAAUAGUUUAGCUUUUCAUGAAGUUGUUUCCCAGAGGAUAAGCUCUCAAAGGGCACAGAGCCACUGAGGUGGCACAUGUACUUCUUUAUAUCAGAUGCCUAGCAGAUGUCUUACAUUAAUAAACAUUGGCUAAUUGCAUUAAUACAUAUAGCUCAUAUUACAAAAGACUGUCAGUAAAAAUGUGUUAGAAGGCUUUGUUGAGAAACUUGGGGGGUUCGUUAAGAAUUCCAUGCAAUGAGAGACUUUCUGAGGAGUAUGUGAAUCAGAAUGAAGAAAUUAGUUAUUUUGGGGCACAAUUCCCUUUUAAAACCAAGCAAACAUUAAUUUAUUAUGAAAAUAUGACAUGAAAAUAUUUAAAGUAUUUAUCUAUAAUUAAAUAUGCCAAUAUAUUAGCAAGAUUAUUCAAAUUUGUUUCCCUUUUCAAUCUUGAUCCAAAUGUUCAAAUAUUUUGCAGAAUUGGAACUAUGGUCAUAUUCAAUCUAAAGUUCUAUAUUUUAAAAUUAGUAUUGUUUCUCAAUUGUUGUUAGUCUUUGCACAUAUUCUUUUAAUUUAACUACACCUUUAUUACCUGAUACUGUUUUCCUUUAGUUUCUCUAGGUCCAGAUCUUAUGCUACAUGAUUUCAAACUACCUCCAGCUGCCUGAACAUUUUGUUUCACACAUUUCUGCCACUGUAUAACCUCUUCUUUUUGCCUGGAAUGUUCUUCCCUUCCAUCAUCUAAAAAACUAAUCUUUGUUUAAAAUAGAGGUCUACAAACUUGUUUGUUCUUAUACUCUACUACCAAAAAAAUUUUGAACAUCAGCUCCAAAAUGCUCUGCAUAUUUCUUUCUUUCUUUUUUUUUUUCCU
This 5083-nucleotide long non-coding RNA is filed under the name Sus scrofa (pig). RNAcentral's name for it is "lncRNA (ENSSSCG00030074633.1)". Lineage: Eukaryota; Metazoa; Chordata; Mammalia; Artiodactyla; Suidae. The record is from RNAcentral.